Long non-coding RNA from Melitaea cinxia (Glanville fritillary), 484 nucleotides. RefSeq lists it as uncharacterized. NCBI's taxonomy places the organism in Eukaryota, Metazoa, Arthropoda, Insecta, Lepidoptera, Nymphalidae. The record is from RefSeq and is a predicted model, not a curated record. The transcript has 2 exons.
GCGAAUAGGUACGCGUGUGUGACUCGAUAGCUUUACGCAAUUAGUACGUUUUCAACGCGUUUUAUAAAUAUACGAACUUUUUUUGUUUAUUCGUUUGUUUUUUAUUACAUCCUGGUCUAUGUUUUGAUGUAAUUUGUGAUAUUUAAUUGGUAUCGACUUCGCGACACUGGUGAAUGUGUAUGUUCCUGAGAUGAACACCACAGCCUCAUUCUCAUCAUACUCUUUAAAGAAGCUUUAAUAUGCAACCUUCAUCCCAAGUUAUCUACGUUGCGGUAGAGACAGCCUCUCCGCAUUGUCUUCUGAAGUCAGCCAUAGCAGCGCAUUGUGCGAAUAGCUCGGAUGUUGUAGGUACAUUGUGAUAAGAUGGCUUGAUUCAUAGCUGAGAUCAACUGUAUGUCGUACGAGUGCUCGUAUUAAGAUAAAUGUUAAAUGUACAUUUAUGCAAAAUGUCGUCGCGAAUAUAAAAAGAGUGACUUAAACACAA